UACAGAGGUCUCAAGCGUUGUUCGGAUUCAUUGGGCGUAAAGGGUGCGUAGGCGGCGCGGUAAGUCGGGUGUGAAAUCUCGGAGCUUAACUCCGAAACUGCAUUCGAUACGGGCAGGCUCGAGUUCGGUAGGGGAGACUGGAAUUCCUGGUGUAGCGGUGAAAUGCGCAGAUAUCAGGAGGAACACCGGUGGCGAAGGCGGGUCUCUGGGCCGAUACUGACGCUGAGGAGCGAAAGCGUGGGGAGCGAACAGG
RNAcentral lists this ribosomal RNA (253 nucleotides) under uncultured bacterium. RNAcentral's name for it is "partial 16S ribosomal RNA". It matches the Rfam family "Bacterial small subunit ribosomal RNA", at positions 524 to 776 of the family's 1533-position model. The record is from RNAcentral.